GUGGAUGCUAGCCCCCGAGACUAAGCCAUGCAUGCCGGUGAAGACGGGAACGGCGCACGGCUCAGUAGUGCCGCGACGAUCUGCCCCGCGCGCGCGCUAACCGCGGGAAACUGCGGCUAUGAGCGCGGGUUGAGACGCGGCCCCAUCAGCGAGUUGGGAGGGUAACGGCCUCCCAAGGCGGCGACGGGUGCGGGGGGUCGGGGCCCGGUUCCGGAGAGGGAGCCUGAGAGACGGCUCCCACGUCCAAGGACGGCAGCAGGCGCGGAAAUUGUCCACU
RNAcentral lists this ribosomal RNA (277 nucleotides) under uncultured Microsporidia. Its description in RNAcentral is "partial small subunit ribosomal RNA". It matches the Rfam family "Microsporidia small subunit ribosomal RNA", at positions 23 to 308 of the family's 1311-position model. The record is from RNAcentral. Lineage: Eukaryota; Fungi; Microsporidia.